RNAcentral lists this ribosomal RNA (339 nucleotides) under Sedimentisphaerales bacterium. Its description in RNAcentral is "bacterial SSU rRNA". It matches the Rfam family "Archaeal small subunit ribosomal RNA", at positions 1140 to 1478 of the family's 1478-position model. Lineage: Bacteria; Pseudomonadati; Planctomycetota; Phycisphaerae; Sedimentisphaerales. The record is from RNAcentral.
GGUAGGUCAGUAUGCCCCGAAUCCCCCGGGCUACACGCGGGCUACAAUGGUCGGCACAAUGGGUAUCGACCCCGAGAGGGGUAGGCAAUCCCCUAAAGCCGAUCGUAGUUCGGAUUGAGGGCUGAAACUCGCCCUCAUGAAGCUGGAAUCCGUAGUAAUCGCGUUUCAACAGAACGCGGUGAAUACGUCCCUGCUCCUUGCACACACCGCCCGUCAAACCACCCGAGUAGGGUCUGGAUGAGGGUGUAUCACUUGAUACAUUCGAAUCCGGGCUUUGCAAGGGGGGUUAAGUCGUAACAAGGUAGCCGUAGGGGAAUCUGCGGCUGGAUCACCUCCUAG